This 276-nucleotide unclassified non-coding RNA is filed under the name air metagenome. RNAcentral describes it as "partial contains small subunit ribosomal RNA, internal transcribed spacer 1, and 5.8S ribosomal RNA". The stretch from base 1 to 46 matches the Rfam family "Eukaryotic small subunit ribosomal RNA", at positions 1786 to 1831 of the family's 1831-position model. The record is from RNAcentral.
AAGUCGUAACAAGGUUUCCGUAGGUGAACCUGCGGAAGGAUCAUUAACGUAUCUACUGGCGGUGGUCGCUCUCCCUGCUCCGGCUUCGGUCGUGCAGCGGGCGUUUGGCCCCGUCAAACCUUCACAAACCCACUGUGCACCUUUGCGGCGGAGGCUCCCGAGCGAGAGUUCGGUUGCCGAAGCCGCCCCACUAAACCCUCAGUAAAAAGAAUGUGAAGCGGCCUCCGAGUCGCCUAAUCAACAUAACAACUUUCAACAACGGAUCUCUUGGCUCUC